GCCUGAUCCAGCCAUGCCGCGUGAGUGAUGAAGGCCUUAGGGUUGUAAAGCUCGUUUUAUCCGGGACGAUAAUGACGGUACCGGAGGAAUAAGCCCCGGCUAACUUCGUGCCAGCAGCCGCGGUAAUACGAAGGGGGCUAGCGUUGCUCGGAAUCACUGGGCGUAAAGGGCGCGUAGGCGGCGUUUUAAGUUGGGGGUGAAAGCCUGUGGCUCAACCACAGAAUUGCCUUCGAUACUGGGACGCUUGAGUGUGGUAGAGGUUGGUGGAACUGCGAGUGUAGAGGUGAAAUUCGUAGAUAUUCGCAAGAACACCGGUGGCGAAGGCGGCCAACUGGACCAUCACUGACGCUGAGGCGCGAAAGCGUAGGGAGCAAACAGGAUUAGAUACCCUGGUAGUCCACGCUGUAAACGAUGAAUGCCAGCCGUUGGGGGGCUUGCCUUUCAGUGGCGCAGCUAACGCUUUGAGCAUUCCGCCUGGGGAGUACGGUCGCAAGAUUA
Molecule: ribosomal RNA, 498 nt
Filed under: uncultured Pseudomonadota bacterium
Lineage: Bacteria; Pseudomonadati; Pseudomonadota
Description: bacterial SSU rRNA
Rfam family: Bacterial small subunit ribosomal RNA
Source: RNAcentral